GAUGAACGCUGGCGGCGUGCCUAACACAUGCAAGUCGAGCGAUUUACUUCGGUAAAGAGCGGCGGACGGGUGAGUAACGCGUGGGUAACCUGCCCUGUACACACGGAUAACAUACCGAAAGGUAUGCUAAUACGAGAUAAUAUGCUUUUAUCGCAUGGUAGAAGUAUCAAAGCUCCGGCGGUACAGGAUGGACCCGCGUCCGAUUAGCUAGUUGGUAAGGUAACGGCUUACCAAGGCGACGAUCAGUAGCCGACCUGAGAGGGUGAUCGGCCACAUUGGAACUGAGACACGGGCCAAACUCCUACGGGAGGCAGCAGUGGGGAAUAUUGCACAAUGGGCGAAAGCCUGAUGCAGCAACGCCGCGUGAGCGAUGAAGGCCUUCGGGUCGUAAAGCUCUGUCCUCAAGGAAGAUAAUGACGGUACUUGAGGAGGAAGCCCCGGCUAACUACGUGCCAGCAGCCGCCGUAA
Molecule: ribosomal RNA, 468 nt
Filed under: uncultured bacterium
Lineage: Bacteria
Description: partial 16S ribosomal RNA
Rfam family: Bacterial small subunit ribosomal RNA
Source: RNAcentral